AGCCUGAUGGUGUAGCGGUAACACAUCCCACCCCUCUAUGGUCAUCCAGCAAUGGUUUCACGGGAAGACCCUUGUUCGACUCAAGGUCAGGCCA
This is a non-coding RNA of Mycena filopes, 94 nucleotides long. NCBI's taxonomy places the organism in Eukaryota, Fungi, Basidiomycota, Agaricomycetes, Agaricales, Mycenaceae. The record is from the annotation of a GenBank genome assembly.